This 784-nucleotide ribosomal RNA is filed under the name uncultured Glomus. RNAcentral's name for it is "SSU rRNA". It matches the Rfam family "Eukaryotic small subunit ribosomal RNA", at positions 326 to 1111 of the family's 1831-position model. The record is from RNAcentral. Lineage: Eukaryota; Fungi; Glomeromycota; Glomeromycetes; Glomerales; Glomeraceae.
UGGUAGGAUAGAGGCCUACCAUGGUGGUAACGGGUAACGGGGUGUUAGGGCACGACACCGGAGAGGGAGCCUGAGAAACGGCUACCACAUCCAAGGAAGGCAGCAGGCGCGCAAAUUACCCAAUCCCGACACGGGGAGGUAGUGACAAUAAAUAACAAUACAGGGUUCUUUGAAUCUUGUAAUUGGAAUGAGUACAAUUUAAAUCUCUUAACGAGGAACAAUUGGAGGGCAAGUCUGGUGCCAGCAGCCGCGGUAAUUCCAGCUCCAAUAGCGUAUAUNAAAGUUGUUGCAGUUAAAAAGCUCGUAGUUGAAUUUCGGGAUCAAUGCGUCGGUCGUGCUUUCGGGUACGUACUGGCGUCAUUGGUUUCUCCUUUCUGACGAACCAUGAUGUCAUUAAUUUGGUGUUAUGGGGAGUUAGGACUGUUACUUUGAAAAAAUUAGAGUGUUUAAAGCAGGCAUUAGCUUGAAUACAUUAGCAUGGAAUAAUGAAAUAGGACGUUCGAUCCUAUUUUGUUGGUUUCUAGGAUCAACGUAAUGAUUAAUAGGGAUAGUUGGGGGCAUUAGUAUUCAAUUGUCAGAGGUGAAAUUCUUGGAUUUAUUGAAGACUAACUACUGCGAAAGCAUUUGCCAAGGAUGUUUUCAUUAAUCAAGAACGAAAGUUAGGGGAUCGAAGACGAUCAGAUACCGUCGUAGUCUUAACCAUAAACUAUGCCGACUAGGGAUCGGAUGAUGUUAAUUUUUUAAUGACUCAUUCGGCGCCUUACGGGAAACCAAAGUGUUUGGG